CUGAUAAUGUGACCCUUCCUCCCCAGGAUCUUGGGUCCAUCCAGUUGGUGGACAGCAGUUCCCCCAGCUGCAGCCCUGUGACCAGCCUGUCCAGCUUUGUCAUGUACCAGUUUCCAGUAAGUGCCUGUGGCAGCACAGUUCAGAUGGCUGGUGGCAACGUGACUUGCCAGAACACCAUGUCUGCUGCCAUCACUGUGAGGAGUGGUCCAGAGGGCUCCAUCACCAGGGACAGUGUCUACAAGUUAUUCUUCCAGUGCACCUACUCGGGAAGCCAGGAUGUGCAAGUGGAGGCUGAGGUGUAUCCUGUGACGCCA
This is a long non-coding RNA of Polypterus senegalus (gray bichir), 314 nucleotides long. RefSeq lists it as uncharacterized. Lineage: Eukaryota; Metazoa; Chordata; Cladistia; Polypteriformes; Polypteridae. The transcript is spliced from 3 exons. The record is from RefSeq and is a predicted model, not a curated record.